GACGAACGCUGGCGGCGUGCUUAACACAUGCAAGUCGUACGGUAAGGCCCUUUCGGGGGUACACGAGUGGCGAACGGGUGAGUAACACGUGAGUAACCUGCCCACAACUUUGGGAUAACGCUAGGAAACUGGUGCUAAUACUGGAUAUGUGCUCCUGCUGCAUGGUGGGGGUUGGAAAGCUCCGGCGGUUGUGGAUGGACUCGCGGCCUAUCAGCUUGUUGGUGGGGUAGUGGCCUACCAAGGCGGCGACGGGUAGCCGGCCUGAGAGGGUGACCGGCCACAUUGGGACUGAGAUACGGCCCAGACUCCUACGGGAGGCAGCAGUGGGGAAUAUUGCACAAUGGGCGCAAGCGGACGCAGCAACGCCGCGUGCGGGAUGACGGCCUUCGGGUUGUAAACCGCUUUCAGCAGGGACGAAGCUUUUUGUGACGGUACCUGCAGAAGAAGCACCGGCUAACUACGUG
Molecule: ribosomal RNA, 464 nt
Filed under: uncultured bacterium
Lineage: Bacteria
Description: partial 16S ribosomal RNA
Rfam family: Bacterial small subunit ribosomal RNA
Source: RNAcentral